RNAcentral lists this ribosomal RNA (467 nucleotides) under uncultured bacterium. RNAcentral's name for it is "partial 16S ribosomal RNA". It matches the Rfam family "Bacterial small subunit ribosomal RNA", at positions 28 to 506 of the family's 1533-position model. The record is from RNAcentral.
GACGAACGCUGGCGGCGUGCUUAACACAUGCAAGUCGAACGGAAAGGCCCUGCUUUUGUGGGGUGCUCGAGUGGCGAACGGGUGAGUAACACGUGAGUAACCUGCCCUUGACUUUGGGAUAACUUCAGGAAACUGGGGCUAAUACCGGAUAGGAGCUCCUGCUGCAUGGUGGGGGUUGGAAAGUUUCGGCGGUUGGGGAUGGACUCGCGGCUUAUCAGCUUGUUGGUGGGGUAGUGGCUUACCAAGGCUUUGACGGGUAGCCGGCCUGAGAGGGUGACCGGCCACAUUGGGACUGAGAUACGGCCCAGACUCCUACGGGAGGCAGCAGUGGGGAAUAUUGCGCAAUGGGCGGAAGCCUGAUGCAGCAACGCCGCGUGCGGGAUGACGGCCUUCGGGUUGUAAACCGCUUUCGCCUGUGACGAAGCGUGAGUGACGGUAAUGGGGAAAGAAGCACCGGCUAACUACGU